RNAcentral lists this ribosomal RNA (777 nucleotides) under uncultured Neocallimastigales. RNAcentral describes it as "partial large subunit ribosomal RNA". It matches the Rfam family "Eukaryotic large subunit ribosomal RNA", at positions 20 to 644 of the family's 3401-position model. The record is from RNAcentral. Lineage: Eukaryota; Fungi; Neocallimastigomycota; Neocallimastigomycetes; Neocallimastigales.
CAUCACUACGCUAGAUGCAUAUCAAUAAGCGGAGGAAAAGAAACUAACAAGGAUUCCCCUAGUAACGGCGAGUGAAGCGGGAAGAGCUCAAAUUUGAAAUCUUAAAAGGUUUUCCUUUUACGAAUUGUAGUUUAAAGAAGUGUUUUCUGUUGAAGUUUUGGUACAAGUUCUUUGGAAUAGGACAUCAUAGAGGGUGAGAAUCCCGUACUUGACCUUAAUUUUUCAACUUUGUGAUACACUUUCAAAGAGUCGGAUUGUUUGGGAAUGCAGUCCAAAAUGGGUGGUAAAUUUCAUCUAAGGCUAAAUAUUGGCGAGAGACCGAUAGCGAACAAGUACCGUGAGGGAAAGAUGAAAAGAACUUUGAAAAGAGAGUUAAAUAGUACGUGAAAUUGUCAAAAGGGAAGCGUUUGGCACCAGUGUUGUUUUUCUAAAAAUCAAUUUAAAAUUUGCUUAUGUUAAGUGUUUUAGACUUAAUCGGCUAUACAUUUAAUUCUUUGUAAAUUUUGAAUGCACUUUUUAGUUAACAAGUCAACAUCAAUUUUUUUUGCUGUAAAAAAGUAAGAGGAAGGUGGCUUGGGAUUCGUUUCAAGUAUUUAUAGCCUCUUGCCCAUGCAGUAGGAGAGAUUGAGGAUCUGCAGCAUAGAUCCUUCGGGGCUAGAUGCUUUUGUGCUAGAAGCUAGUAUUAUAUAGACAACUUGUUGAUUAUGUAAUAUAUUAGUUUCUACUCGCUAAAGUUAUUUUACCUACGCUUAGGAUGUUGACUGAUAUGUAGUCGUA